This 915-nucleotide ribosomal RNA is filed under the name Levilactobacillus brevis. RNAcentral's name for it is "bacterial SSU rRNA". It matches the Rfam family "Bacterial small subunit ribosomal RNA", at positions 1 to 880 of the family's 1533-position model. The record is from RNAcentral. Lineage: Bacteria; Bacillati; Bacillota; Bacilli; Lactobacillales; Lactobacillaceae.
UUCGGUUUGUGUUUAAAUCCUGCUCAUGACGAACGCUGGCGGCAUGCCUAAUACAUGCAAGUCGAACGAGCUUCCGUUGAAUGACGUGCUUGCACUGAUUUCAACAAUGAAGCGAGUGGCGAACUGGUGAGUAACACGUGGGGAAUCUGCCCAGAAGCAGGGGAUAACACUUGGAAACAGGUGCUAAUACCGUAUAACAACAAAAUCCGCAUGGAUUUUGUUUGAAAGGUGGCUUCGGCUAUCACUUCUGGAUGAUCCCGCGGCGUAUUAGUUAGUUGGUGAGGUAAAGGCCCACCAAGACGAUGAUACGUAGCCGACCUGAGAGGGUAAUCGGCCACAUUGGGACUGAGACACGGCCCAAACUCCUACGGGAGGCAGCAGUAGGGAAUCUUCCACAAUGGACGAAAGUCUGAUGGAGCAAUGCCGCGUGAGUGAAGAAGGGUUUCGGCUCGUAAAACUCUGUUGUUAAAGAAGAACACCUUUGAGAGUAACUGUUCAAGGGUUGACGGUAUUUAACCAGAAAGCCACGGCUAACUACGUGCCAGCAGCCGCGGUAAUACGUAGGUGGCAAGCGUUGUCCGGAUUUAUUGGGCGUAAAGCGAGCGCAGGCGGUUUUUUAAGUCUGAUGUGAAAGCCUUCGGCUUAACCGGAGAAGUGCAUCGGAAACUGGGAGACUUGAGUGCAGAAGAGGACAGUGGAACUCCAUGUGUAGCGGUGGAAUGCGUAGAUAUAUGGAAGAACACCAGUGGCGAAGGCGGCUGUCUAGUCUGUAACUGACGCUGAGGCUCGAAAGCAUGGGUAGCGAACAGGAUUAGAUACCCUGGUAGUCCAUGCCGUAAACGAUGAGUGCUAAGUGUUGGAGGGUUUCCGCCCUUCAGUGCUGCAGCUAACGCAUUAAGCAUUCCGCCUGGGAUA